Molecule: ribosomal RNA, 498 nt
Filed under: uncultured bacterium
Lineage: Bacteria
Description: partial 16S ribosomal RNA
Rfam family: Bacterial small subunit ribosomal RNA
Source: RNAcentral
AACGAACGCUGGCGGCGUGCCUAAUACAUGCAAGUCGAGCGAGAAAGUCUUCGGAUGAGUACAGCGGCGCACGGGUGAGUAACGCGUAGGUAUCUGCCUUUUAGUGGGGAAUAACACAGCGAAAGUUGUGCUAAUACCGCAUGAGAAAGUAAUUUCAAAGAUGGCCUCUACUUGUAAGCUAUCGCUAAAAGAUGAGCCUGCGUGACAUUAGGUAGUUGGUGGGGUAAUGGCCUACCAAGCCUGCGAUGUCUAUCCGGUCUGAGAGGAUGAUCGGACACACUGGAACUGAGACACGGUCCAGACUCCUACGGGAGGCAGCAGUAGGGAAUAUUGCGCAAUGGGGGCAACCCUGACGCAGCAACGCCGCGUGAGUGAGGAAGGUCUUCGGAUUGUAAAACUCUUUUAUUAGAGAAAAACGGCUUUGUGGCUAAUAUCCACGAGGCGUGAUGGUAUCUAAGGAAUAAGCACCGGCUAACUUCGUGCCAGCAGCCGCGGUAA